UACGUAGGGUGCGAGCGUUGUCCGGAAUUAUUGGGCGUAAAGGGCUCGUAGGCGGUUUGUCGCGUCGGGAGUGAAAACGCCGUGCUUAACACGGCGCUUGCUUUCGAUACGGGCAGACUAGAGGUAUGCAGGGGAGAACGGAAUUCCUGGUGUAGCGGUGAAAUGCGUAGAUAUCAUUUGGAACGCCAAUGGUGAAAACAGGUAGCUGGGGCUGUGCUGACACUGAGACACGAAAGCCAGGGGAGCAAACGGG
Molecule: ribosomal RNA, 253 nt
Filed under: uncultured bacterium
Lineage: Bacteria
Description: partial 16S ribosomal RNA
Rfam family: Bacterial small subunit ribosomal RNA
Source: RNAcentral